Molecule: long non-coding RNA, 4227 nt
Organism: Caretta caretta (loggerhead turtle)
Lineage: Eukaryota; Metazoa; Chordata; Testudines; Cheloniidae
Source: RefSeq, a predicted model, not a curated record
AGUUUCCUGUAAACCUUCUCUGGCUUCUCUCUUGAUUGGAUACUGUUUUACUUGCACUGGGCCUUUCCCUGGUAUGAGCUGAAUAGUAAUAGGGGUCUGGUGGGUGGCCUUUCCUGGAAUCCCUGAUGCCCACACGAGGGGGUACACCUGGUCUUCCCACGGGCUCCAUUCUGGGGCUUGCAUGGCUGAGGGCUCAACUGCAAGGGUCAUGAUCCAUGCAUUCUCAGGGGGUAAGGUAAGGGUUAUUUCGUCCUCAGUAAAAUGCAGGGUGGCACCAAGGCGACAAAGCAGAUCCCGUCCCAGCAGAGGCGUUGGACACUCAGGGAGGUAUACCAGCUUGUGGGAUAUAGUCCUGUCUCCCAAAGCACAUUCCGCUGGGGCAUACACUGGGCACUUGGUGUCCCUGCCUGUGGCUCCCCCUGUUGGGAACACUGGGGCAUGGCCACUAGGUAACUCGAGGGGAUGGAAGACCACGAGUGUCGAUGAAGCCCCCUCGCACUAGGCCCCGGUGUCCUUGCCCCCCCCCCCCCCCUGGAGGCACUUGCAGCAGCUCUGCGUACUAGGCCCAAGUGUCCUUGGCCCCCCCCGCCUGGAGGCACACACAGCAGUUAUGCUGAGAAUCUGCAACAGUAUGUUGCAGAGUCAGACUGCCUGAAACUAAGCAAGGCCAAACAGGGGAGAUAUGGAAGAACAAUGCUGAAUAAAGCAGCUUUAUGUAUAGUUUAACAAAUGAUACAGAGAAUCAGGGAACUAGCUGGGAACUGGAUUGGCUGGCUAUAUGGAUACUUGGAGCAGCUUGCUAUUGGAUAAGUAUGCUGGGAAAAAGGAUGUAUAAAAGCCUGUGUAACUUCCUGCUCUGUUGUACAGGAUUUGAGAUUCAAAUCUCCCUGUACCUUUUUGAAGCUUCAAAUAAACUUUUCUGCUUCUCCACCCCAUUGUGAUUAUUGGGUGCAGCACACCGGGUAACGAACCAACUCAAGCUGUUGUUCAGCCUCUCGGCACUGGGUGCCGGCAACAGCUUUUGGCGUCCCUGGGUGGGCUCGAGGCUGCAAUUUAGCCUUGCCCGGACCCCUCCUGGAGGUCGAGGAUUGCGGCGAGAACCGACGCCCAGCGCGCACCGGUGAGUUCAUCGGGGGCCUUGGAGGAGACGCGAUUUGAUCGACCCCAGAGGGCGCGGUGCCACGCACUCAUAUAGUGGAGAAGCUGUUGUGGAUGGCGGUGAAGAACCGGUCCCUUAGACGUGGGGGAGCAGCAGCUGCAGGCCACGGUGAAGAACUGGUCCCUUGGAUAAGGUAUACCAAGGAUUCCCAGCCUCUCCCCUUGGACUCUCCCAUUCACUCCUUACAGCCCGGUGACUCUGUGCUUGUUCGCACCUGGAAAGACGAGCCUCUCCAGGAAAAGUGGAAAGGACCCUAUACCGUCCUGCUGACCUCCCAUACAGCGGCAAAGAUCGAGGGCCACAAGAACUGGAUCCAUCACUCUCGUCUGAAGGCAGUACCUGCCCCUCGUCAGCAGAACAGUGGACCGUCCAACCUGCUGACUCCUCAUCUAGUGACGAUCUCGGGCUAAAGCUACUGUUUAAAAGACACAAAUAGCGGGCACCUUAAUGCUAAAAUGGGCCCACCCAGGUAUUGGAGACCUUGGGUUGGGAAAACUCUGGUAAUAAUUAAUUGAGUAACAUUGUUAUUCUUUGUAUUGGUAUUUCCAAACUGUGCAUAUCGGGAGCAUAACUCCUUUGUUUUGCUUGCGCACCAUGUUGCUAAUUUAACAAACCAGACUGAUUGCUGGGUAUGUGCUCCAACUCCACUGUCCCCCAAAAUGGGAAUGCCCCUUGACAUGCUGCCCUUGACCCUAGCAGAAUUAGCCACCACCAAAGAGCAGGAAAGAACGAACUCACCGUUCUGGAACAAGACCUCUUUACAGCAAGCCACCUAUCAGGACCAGGAGUAUUCAGUUGCAGUACUCACUGAAGGAGUGUUAUGUUUUACCCGAAACCAAUCUGAUCCCUAUGGGCAUCCUGUGGGAAAGAACUCCUGUGUUAUUACACAGUGGGCUGAUGGGUAUUGGAUAAAGAGCAACAGGGGAGGCCAACGGUGUGGGUGUAAUGGUUCCUCCCCUUUUAGGGAAACACAAAUAAUCUUACCACAAAAAAGGGGUUUGGAAAUGUAACUUGCCAUCCAGUUAAUAUCUCCAAUGUAGCAAGCCAAUGGUGGGUUUGUAGUGGUCCCUAUGGCGAGUGUAAUUUGAACGGCACAAUUAGAAACGCCCCCACUUGUACCCAAUCAGGAGGAUGGGAUGCCCCCUUAGGGGCAUAUGAACUGUUUGGAAAAGCAGCCUUAAAUAUCCCAGGAAUCCCCUUAAGAAACAGUCCUUACUGGGCCCUACAGGGUCACUAUUUUGUAUGUGGCCGAAAGGCUUACAAGGUGCUGCCAGCCAACUGGACAGGUAGCUGUUAUAUAGCUCAUGGAGUUCCUCAUCUUUCCAUAACUGCCACACUGCCCAAAGGAAAGAUUAGAAAUGCCCGAGACACCUCUGUUGAGUCACGAGAAAAGACCCUGCGGCGACUGACUAAGGCAUUGGAGGGCAAUAUGAAGAAUCCCCUCACAACCGAGAAGCUGGUAGGGUGCUCUGUACUGGGAAUAGCACCACUGUUUACCGGGCUAGCCCUGGCAUGCAUAGGCCGCUAUACUGUAAGGCUGCAGAUGGUACUUGAGAAAGUGGCCUUAGAGUUGGAGGACUCGGUUAGUGAUUUAGGGUCAGCAGUAAAAACAUUAAAUAAAGAGGUACAGCAGCUCAGGACGUUUUCCCUCCAAAACAGGCUGGCUUUGGACUAUCUCUUGGCAUCCCAAGGAGGGUUUUGUGCCCUCGUCGGGCCCCGAUGUUGUGUAUAUGUAAAUGAUAGCAGUUAUGAGAUCUAUGAAAAGGUGGUACAGGCUGAGGCCCAUGCCCGAGCCGGAGCACAGGUUGCCUAUACUGCCCCAGAGAACGAUUGGUUGCAAACCUUGUUUUCAGGCUGGGGUUUGUCAUCUUGGCUUGGUGGUUUAUUUAGCCAGCUAUUGAAAUUUCUCUUUCCUGUAUUGCUUGUAUUACUGGUAUUAUGCUGUGCGGUAUCAUGUGUCAGGGCCCUUUUGCAAAAGUUAAUAAGUCCUUCUCUUCAGGGCUAUCACAAAGUGCUUAUGCAAAGUCCUAUUGUAAGGAAAUAAGUAGCUCAAGUGAGAAAACUCAGAGCCAAGGCUGUUGAGUGUUCUCAAAGGGGGAGUUGUUGGGAACACUGGGACAUGGCCACUAGGUAACUCGAGGGGAUGGAAGACCACGAGUGUCGAUGAAGCCCCCUCGCACUAGGCCCCGGUGUCCUUGCCCCCCCCCCCCGCGCCUGGAGGCACUCGCAGCAGCUCUGCGUGCUAGGCCCAAGUGUCCUUGGCCCCCCGCCUGGAGGCACACACAGCAGUUAUGCUGAGAAUCUGCAACAGUAUGUUGCAGAGUCAGACUGCCUGAAACUAAGCAAGGCCAAACAGGGGAGAUAUGGAAGAACAAUGCUGAAUAAAGCAGCUUUAUGUAUGAUUUAACAAAUGAUACAAAGAAUCAUUUCAACAAAAAUGAUUAGGGGGCUGGAACACAUGAGUUAUGAGGAGAGGCUGAGGGAGCUGGGAUUGUUUAGUCUGCGGAAGAGAAGAAUGAGGGGGGAUUUGAUAGCUGCUUUCAACUACCAAAAGGGGGUUCCAAAGAGGAUGGCUCUAGACUGUUCUCAAUGGUAGCAGAUGACAGAACGAGGAGUAAUGGUCUCAAGCUGCAGUGGGGGAGGUUUAGAUUGGAUAUUAGGAAAAACUUUUUCACUAAGAGGGUGGUGAAACACUGGAAUGCGUUACCUAGGGAGGUGGUAGAAUCUCCUUCCUUAGAGGUUUUUAAGGUCAGGCUUGACAAAGCCCUGGCUGGGAUGAUUUAACUGGGAAUUGGUCCUGCUUUGAGCAGGGGGUUGGACUAGAUGACCUUCUGGGGUCCCUUCCAACCCUUAUAUUCUAUGAUUCUAUGAUUCUAUGAAUCAGGGAACUAGCUGGGAACUGGAUUGGCUGGCUAUAUGGAUACUUGGAGCAGCUUGCUAUUGGAUAAGUAUGCUGGGAAAAAGGAUGUAUAAAAGCCUGUGUAACUUCCUGCUCUGUUGUACAGGAUUUGAGAUUCAAAUCUCCCUGUACCUUUUUGAAGCUUCAAAUAAACUUUUCUGCUUCUCCA